Molecule: long non-coding RNA, 501 nt
Organism: Hermetia illucens (black soldier fly)
Lineage: Eukaryota; Metazoa; Arthropoda; Insecta; Diptera; Stratiomyidae
Exons: 2
Source: RefSeq, a predicted model, not a curated record
AGCCGGUUGUCUAGUCAGGGGGACUCGUCUUUCCGGUAGACGGUUGGCAAGAAUGUGUAAUGCGUGCUCGGGUGAAAUUGAUCAAAUCCACUUGUCUUGUAAAGAAGACAUUAAGUGAGGGAGUCCGAUUGAUACAAAUUAAAUUACGGAGCAAGCGUAGGUGUCCCAAUGAAUUAUGAAAGAGGUAGUGGUGCCGAGCAGCUCAUUUUGCUUGCCUUGUGCUUCCGCUGGUGUGUUUGAGCCGUUCCUUUCAUCUGUAGCCACAUAUGAUUUCAACUCAAUAUGCAUAACCAAUCUAAGGUACUAAAGUUUCCAACACCAGGACUGGGAAGAAUUGUUAUAAAUAUAACUCCUCCAUUUUCUUGAAUUUACCCUUAUAACAUGCUCAAAAUAACUUUAAAUAUUUACAUUUUUGUUGCAAUCCCUCUGUUCAUAUUUACGAAAGAAAGUGAACAAUAAAUGAGAAUGAUAACGAUGCGUUAGUAAUUAUGUACACAAUGA